This 336-nucleotide ribosomal RNA is filed under the name uncultured bacterium. Its description in RNAcentral is "bacterial SSU rRNA". It matches the Rfam family "Bacterial small subunit ribosomal RNA", at positions 72 to 422 of the family's 1533-position model. The record is from RNAcentral.
AAGUGGAGCAAUCCAUGAGUAAAGUGGCGACCGGGUGAGUAACACGUGACUAACCUACCUUUUAGUGGGGGAUAACCUCGGGAAACCGAGGCUAAUACCGCAUAACAUCGCAAGAUCAAAGGAGCAAUCCGCUUGAGGAGGGGGUCGCGGCUGAUUAGCUAGUUGGCGGGGUAACGGCCCACCAAGGCGAGGAUCGGUAGCCGGCCUGAGAGGGCGCACGGCCACACUGGAACUGAAACACGGUCCAGACUCCUACGGGAGGCAGCAGUGGGGAAUUUUGCGCAAUGGGGGAAACCCUGACGCAGCAACGCCGCGUGGAGGAUGAAGCCCCUUGGG